Parus major (Great Tit) is the source of this 1202-nucleotide long non-coding RNA. NCBI's taxonomy places the organism in Eukaryota, Metazoa, Chordata, Aves, Passeriformes, Paridae. The record is from Ensembl.
ACAAAAAUUAAGACUGUUUUUAGCCACCAAAGUUCUAAAGUUAUUUGUCUCUAUGUUAUCAUGUCAUGUGUACAAAGAAAUAGUCAAAAAUGUAAAAGAAGGGGUUUUCUGGAAAUUUACUCUAGUGUUCUUAUUCUUGUAGUUUGUUAAUAAACUGUCUUUAUUCCUUUUAAGUUUUAAGCCUGUUUUGCUCUUGUUUUAAUCCAUAUCUCACAACAAGAAAUAAGUAAUUUCUUUAGCUACUGGUUUAAAACCACGACAGAUAUGUACAGGAAUGGAAAGGGAAACACCAGCCAUUAAAACAGAAAACAGCACUAAACUUUUUCUGAGCACAUGUGUCACCAUUUUUUAGAUGGUUAAAGAUUUAAAACUUUAAGGGGCUUUGCAAGACAAGACAAUGGCAUAAACCCUCUACACCCUUUCCAAACAGAACAUUGCUUCUCAUUAGCUGAGGACAAUAGGAUCAAAGAUUGAAAGCAAAGUCAUUGCCCAGUUUAAGAAUGAAUGAUUGUAUACUUCCCAUUGAAAGGCUUUUGAGGAGGAUUCCUUAUUCACAGAAAUGGUUUUGAAAAAGGCAUUUUUCAUUGGGGGAGCCAUGGUGCUUUGAUUCCUUUUUGCAGUAAGUGGACAAAGUGGACGGAAAAGCAGAACUAAACUGGUAGCUGUUGUCAGUCUUUGCUAAUGCCUGAUAACAACUCUGUUACCACCUUGAACACCCAGAGCUGCAUAUGACAAUGUGGAUAUUUAGGACUGGGUACAAAUCCCAGCAGUUAAAAACCACUUUCUUAUUUUCUUUUUAAUGCAGAGUAGCCAUGGCAGCAGGGAGCAUUAAGGAGACUGGAAACCUGGCUUUGAAGUGUUGAUUUACCUCUGUGUGGCGGUGUGCAAGGCAUGGCAGAGUGCCAGCUGCUCCAUAAGCAGCUGCAUUUGCCCUGGGACAGCUGGAUGUCUUUAAGGCAGCACUGGGAACUAUUCUAGCCAUCCUCACAUGAAACUGGAAGCACAAGAAGAAAAUAUAUAUGGUCACAGCAACUAUGGCAUAUCUUUAAUAAUCUCCUCUCACUGCUUGGUCCAAGAGCCAUGAGGGUUUAAACCCUUCCUGUAGACCACUGCCACAGGCACCACUAGGGAGCUCAGCCCUGAGUUUGAUCACUCAUCCUCUUCUCACUCACUUGAAGAACGGGAAUUUUGCUUCACUGCAG